UGUUGUUGGCGACUGUUGGGUGCUUGUUUGGAAACUAAUGUUUAUUUUCUUAAUUUAUUAUGACUUUAACUAAUUAUAGUUACAAGACAUCGUGAAAUUAAUCUUGAUAUAUUGUUAAUUGAUUAAUCCCCAGGGUGAGUAACCCAAUAGUCGUCCCUUAGGAGAGCCUUUUGAUACAAAUGAAUACAAAUAUAACCCACCACUAGACUUAUAAGUAGUUAACAUCAACAGUAGUAUAGUCAUGUCCAAGAUGUGGCCCGCAUCACAGUAUUCUCACACAAACAACCCUCAUAGUAAUCAGAAUGUUGCAAAGACAAAUGAGCAUCAGAAUCAGCAAAACUUAAAAACCCUGGGGAUGACAUCGGCUAUAUCCAUGGCAGGCCCAAAACCAAUUGACAUUGAAAAGACAAGUGAGCUAAAAGAGUCCCUGGCACCAUAUGGUGUGUUUGAAUCCGAGAUCGAGAUGCACCACCGCAUGGAAAUCCUGGGACAACUGCACAGGCUUGUCAGACAGUGGAUACGCGACGAAUCACUGAGGAAGAAUAUGCCUCCCAGUGUGGCGGACACCGUCGGAGGAAAUAUAUAUACUUUCGGAUCUUACAGACUUGGGGUACAUCACAGAGGCGCCGACAUAGACGCGCUCUGUGUGGCCCCUCGACACAUUGACAGGACCGACUAUUUCCAGUCGUUCUACGACCUACUCAAAUUGCAACCACAGGUUAAAGACCUACGUGCUGUAGAGGACGCGUUUGUGCCGGUAAUAAAAAUGAAUUUUGACGGAAUCGAGAUUGAUUUGCUGUUUGCGAGAUUGGCACUCAAAGAAAUUCCGGAUUCCUUCGACCUCCGCGAUGACAUGCUUCUGAAGAACUUAGACCAGAAGUGUGUGAGGUCUCUUAAUGGUUGCCGAGUCACCGAUGAGAUACUGCGUCUGGUGCCCAAUAUUGAUAACUUCAGGCUCACGCUCAGAGCUAUCAAGUUGUGGGCGAAACGGCAUGGCAUCUAUUCAAACACGUUGGGCUACCUGGGAGGAGUAUCCUGGGCGAUGCUGGUGGCCCGUACCUGCCAGCUGUACCCGAACGCAUUGCCCGCGACACUCGUGCACAAGUUCUUCCUCGUCUUCAGCCAGUGGAAGUGGCCGCAGCCGGUUUUACUGAAACAGCCGGAUUCAGUUAACUUGGGCUUUCCUGUAUGGGAUCCGAGGGUGAACCUGGCAGAUCGUUUCCAUUUGAUGCCGAUAAUCACUCCAGCGUACCCACAGCAGAACUCAACAUUCAAUGUGUCGGCUUCUACACGGACUGUCAUAAUGGAGGAGUUUAGACUUGGUUUAGCAAUAACAGAUGAGAUAAUGUUGAGCAAGUGCGGCUGGGAGCGGUUGUUCGAGGCACCCAACUUUUUCUCGCGGUAUCGCCACUUCAUCGUGCUGCUGGCCUCGUCGGCCAGCUCGGACGACCAGCUGCAGUGGUGCGGCCUCAUAGAGAGCAAGAUCAGACAUCUUAUUAACACCCUGGAGCGAAACCAGCACAUCACGAUCGCGCACGUAAACCCCGAGUGCUACAGCUCUGUGCCGCUCCACACCAACGGAGGACAACCCCUAGCGCUGCCGCCCGGUGCCGCUCAACCUCCGCCUGCGGAAAAUACAGCAGAAACCAAUAACGACAAUGGUGAAGUAGUACCAAACCACUGUUCCAUGUGGUUCAUUGGACUGGUAUUCGAGAAGACCAACGUGAAUGUGGAUCUCACAUACGACAUAUCUUCAUUCACAAAAGUGGUACACUUCCAGGCUGAACACAACAGUAUGUUACGGGAAGGAAUGACCAUAGAGGCGCGGCAUGUGCGCCGCAAGGAGCUCCACCAGUACCUGUCACCGUCGCUGCUGCGUCGCGAGAGAACCACCUCGGGCACCAAGCGCCGCCUGGCCGACCCUCAGCACCAGCCCAACCACACGCAACCGCCAACGCACAAGAAAACCAAACGGCUAUCCGAGAGCAGUACGGAUGACGUCAGCAUUAUCUCAUACAACGAAGACUCGAACUCGUCUAAUAUGUACGAGGUUAAUCUGCAGAACGGCACAAGCACGAACCACGAGGAGCGUAAUAAGCCCGCAGAGAAGACCGAGCACAGUCCCUCCACUUCGAACACGCAAACCAACAGUAUUGUAUGCACGUAGCAGUACGAACAGUGGCGACAGAGGUUCAUAUACGGAACUGCCAACGUUAAAAUGAACAGAGUGAAACGUAUAUAGUGAUAAGUGACAGAAACUUGUGAUGUUAGUGUUAAGUGAUAGAUAUCGGACAGUUUUGGUACAAUUUGUAUUGUUUAUGGUGAUGCCUGGACCGGACUAUGAUUCCAAUAAGAUGUCGCGCGGCGGAAGCGACACCUGCCGGCGUUCGUUCGACGGGCGAGCACGCCGUCAUGUUUCUCUCAAAAGUUUUUUUUACUAGAGGCCAUUUUCCUGCUCUUUGUAAUCUUGCACUCAGGCGACAUAUUCCCUACGAACUGCGAAGUCUUGAGGAUAUUCUAACGAGGGAUGACUUCAUAAAAAGUUAAUAUAAAUUUUGACUAUUGGUGAAAGAAAAAAGUGUCAACAUGGUUAUGCUCCUCUAAUUGUCUCGCAACAAACACAGAAUGGCCUGACAGGAUACAUUGUUAACUGGGACAAUAAUCACUAAAACGGUCUAAAAAUAUCCUCUUUAUCGAAUUACUUGUUAUUAAGUAAUAAAUAAAAAUAUCGAAAAUGUACCAGUCGAGUGUCUUGCCAGUUCUUCUGAUUUA
Achroia grisella is the source of this 2772-nucleotide RNA transcript. It is a transcript of the gene named poly(A) polymerase type 3, with no coding region annotated. NCBI's taxonomy places the organism in Eukaryota, Metazoa, Arthropoda, Insecta, Lepidoptera, Pyralidae. The record is from RefSeq and is a predicted model, not a curated record. The transcript has 16 exons.